CCCUUAGAUGUCCUGGGCUGCACGCGCGCUACACUGACACAUGCAACGAGUUUUUCCUUGCCUGAAAGGGUUGGGUAAUCUCCUUGAAAGUGUGUCGUGAUGGGGAUAGAUUAUUGCAAUUAUUAAUCUUCAACGAGGAAUUCCUAGUAAGUGCAAGUCAUCAGCUUGCGCUGAUUACGUCCCUGCCCUUUGUACACACCGCCCGUCGCUCCUACCGAUUGAGUGAUCCGGUGAGGCUCUGGGACCUGGUCGGAAAGAGCGUUUCGCUUGUUCUGUUUGGGAAACUUGGUCGAACCUUAUCAUUUAGAGGAAGGAGAAGUCGUAACA
Molecule: ribosomal RNA, 327 nt
Filed under: uncultured eukaryote
Lineage: Eukaryota
Description: partial 18S ribosomal RNA
Rfam family: Eukaryotic small subunit ribosomal RNA
Source: RNAcentral